Molecule: long non-coding RNA, 2805 nt
Organism: Thunnus maccoyii (southern bluefin tuna)
Lineage: Eukaryota; Metazoa; Chordata; Actinopteri; Scombriformes; Scombridae
Exons: 3
Source: RefSeq, a predicted model, not a curated record
AAAAGAAAACGUAUGCAUAAGGGCUUCCCGAGCUCUGCAGCAACAGAAGCCCCCUGAACUGCUCACACAAUCAUUUUAUACUUUCAGUCUCCACCCAACACAACCGUCAACACAAGUGUGCCACCUAUCAUGUAUACAUCUAUGCAGUCAUACCUCACUGUGUAUGGUGUCUUGCCUGUCUAGACAGCUUCCUGUUCUUACAUUCAGUUAAUCUCUUUGCAUUCACUUCCUCCCUGGACUUUCCACCAGUCACAGAGAAAGCAGGGGCACAGGGAGUGGCUGCUUUGGGGCCUCGGCUCUUUCCAGUUACAAAGGGGCCCAUCUCGGGCCCAAUCUGCCUGACUGAACAUACAUUUUUGUUGUUUAGUUGAAUAUUUUGAGUAAAGGUUGUUUGUGUAUCUUGAUUGUGGCAAAAAAUUUCAGACUCAGACCACAUCUGUGUCUUCUGCAGAACAGAGACGAGCCCCUUUAUAAGACUUUUAUAAUGUUGUCAUUGCCCAAGAGACAGAUCUGGAUUUGGUGCCUAAGCCUACCCAAACCAGAGCGAAUUAAUUUUAAUAUUCAACCAGCCAUACAAUGUGAAAUCAAGAGGCUGUAGGCUACAGUUUGCAAACAAAUAAAGAACAAAAAAAGCUAGACUGUACAUCAACAAUUCUAUUUAAUGAACUGGGCUAUCAUUAGGACUUUAUUGAAUCCGUCCCCUCUCUGAUUAUUUUUAUCAAUUCAAUUGUUUGAUUCUUACCUUUUAAAUUGUCAGGGGUAAAAGACUGCAGAGUACAUUAACUGUUUUAUUCAGUCAGACAUUGACAAACCAAGUGGUACAGAGCUACUUAAUGCAGCAAUGGACGGAAAAAGAAUAUUUUUUAUUCGAAAUUUUAUAAGUUCAUUGACUAAAUCUUGUGGAUUUGUCAUGCUGCAGACUUGGAAGGCACCCAAGGACCAGGGACUCCAUGACUUCAGGCAGACAGGGACAGGGCAGUUGCAGCUCAGGAACAGGGAACUGCUGCGGCAGCCCAGCCGGAACGGGGACUGCUGUGGCAGCCCAGCCCGAACGGCGGAGUUACUGCACUUCAGCCAGGAUGGGGGGGUUGCUUCAGCUCAGCGGGGUCAAAUAGAGUCAUCUGGACUGGAGUGACAGUCUUGGAUGUGACCAUGUGCUCACCAUCAGAGUCUUUUGGGUGAACAGACUGGGGUGCAGGCUUUGAGACCACAGGUGAGUCCACUGAGCCAGUCUGCAGGAAUCUGUGGAGCUUCUCCCAGACAACAUCAAGGUGGGGAACAAAGUGGCUCACCCACAGUCUCUCCUUAAACCACCACGGAUGGACCGAUAUCUUCUACAAGUCUUGAGUGCGCUAAUGUGGGUGAGAGGCAAUGAGGUGAGCCACAGUCCAAUUGAAUUCUGAAACCUUUUUUUAAAAAAAGGCGAUGCUCUGCUUGGUCCAUGACUGGUUGAAUCCUUCUGUCAUGGGUUGUGGAGCAGGAAUGGGUGGACCCAAUUGCAGAGACCAGAAAGUAGGGCUGAAGAAAACCAUCUUCAUUUCAAGACUGGCAAGGCAAAAACAAAAGCAGGCUGAGCUGAGUAAACUGUAUACAGAAAAACAAGUGAUCAGGCAGCAUGGAAACUGCGCGAACAUUACAGGAAACUUGACUUAACAGGACAGAACAGAGUUUCCAACAAAUGUGACUGCAAACCAAGACUUAUAUACUAACUGAACUAAUGGACAAAAGGGAACAGGUGGCAAGACACAAGGGCAGGCUGGGAGUGAUUGGCUGGGAAAGACACUAGGAACAGGGCAGGACUGACGAGGCUGAUACAGGACAGGUGCGGGGAAAACACAGAGCAGAGCAGGGCUAACGAGGGUAAUGCAGGGCAAGCGAGAGGAGGAGCACAUGAACACAGGAGUGAAGAACACACAAGGGAAACAGAACAAACCAAAACCCAGGACACACCACUCAACAACCCAGCAUAAACCAAAUUGUCUCUGACUACAUGAACCUAGGAACACAGAACUACAAGCUAACCAAUAAUCUAAUAGUCUUUCCAGGAAACACUAAAAUAACAUGAAAGAGCAAAAUCAAAUGACCAAAAAGACUGAACAGAAGUGCAACACAGGAAACCAAGAGAACACAAAGAGCCCCAAAAAACAGAAAGUCCAGGCAGGAUGUGACAGGAUAUGGGUGACUCGUACAAGUUCAACAAAGAGUGAGAAUGUCACAUCUUGGCAUCUUGGUUAUGUAAAAUUUGAGUAGUACUGAUGGAUACUCGGAACUGCAUAUUUGUGUCUUCCAGAGGUUCCAGGGAUAGUAGCCUCGCUGAAAGAUGUCGUAGAGGCCAUGUAAGGAGCGUCAUGCAGCUCAAGUUCCAGCCGAGUUUCCAGUGUGCAGUCUAUUUCUGGAGAUCAUGAAAUAUUGUACUUGCGGAUUCUGAUGUAAAGGACCCGAAGAGGAUGUUUGAUUGUCUCGGCAAAACAAGACUGUCUCUCACCACCCAGGACUCGGCUACUGGUCUUUGAUAACAAAACAGGAAGCGUGAAAGUGGGGUGCGCCCACUCAACUGUGAAAAACAAUGCCACGUAUAGCCUCAAGGUCUUAAGCUGUGCACUCUAAGAGACAGGUGAUGUUGAUCCAUAGGUUGUGCAAAGCAGGAUACCACGAAAAGGAGAAGCAGGACACCGUCAACCAAUGAGAAGACAACAACACCCCGGUUGCACAUUUCUUGAUCUAUGUAUUAUAAAAUACUGGGUCAGGAUAGUGAGUCAGACUUAGUGAACUGACAGACACUCUCUUGCUUGUCAGGGAAACUAU